RNAcentral lists this transfer-messenger RNA (354 nucleotides) under bovine gut metagenome. It matches the Rfam family "transfer-messenger RNA". Rfam says of the family: Bacterial tmRNA, also known as 10Sa RNA or SsrA, is named for its dual tRNA and mRNA-like properties. Its role is to liberate the mRNA from a stalled ribosome. To accomplish this part of the tmRNA is used as a reading frame that ends in a translation stop signal. The record is from RNAcentral.
GGGGAUGCAAUGGUUUCGACGGGGGGCGUGAACGUUGGCAAGCGAGCAGCGGCAUUACGGAACCGCUAUAAAAUCCGUAAAUUCUUAAAUAAUAAACGACAACGAUUAUACUGUUGCCCUUGCCGCUUAAUCUGGCAAGCGUUUGUAUCAAGAGUACCACGGCUUGAUGCAGGCGUCGACUUAGUGGUGAACGUGAACGGAAAAUUGUCUUGCUUUCCGUCAUGACUGAAAGACUACCGAAGCAUACAGCCUGUCUGUGGGCGGUAUGUGGGGGGAAUCUUAAAAUACAGACUGCGCUCGGAGAAAACUGACGGAAUCACCUUUCGGACAGGGGUUCGAUUCCCCUCAUCUCCA